This 1519-nucleotide ribosomal RNA is filed under the name metagenome. RNAcentral describes it as "bacterial SSU rRNA". It matches the Rfam family "Bacterial small subunit ribosomal RNA". The record is from RNAcentral.
AGAGUUUGAUCCUGGCUCAGAACGAACGCUGGCGGUAUGCUUAAUACAUGCAAGUCAAACGAGAAAGCCCCUUCGGGGGUGAGUAGAGUGGCGCACGGGUGAGUAACACGUAGGUGACCUACCUUUCUGGCGGGGGACAACCCGAAGAAAUUCGGGCUAAUACCCCAUAUCCUGUAUGAAGGUGAAACUAUUACAGUAAAGAUUGCCUCUGUUUCAUGCAAUCACCAGACGAUGGGCCUGCGCAGCAUUAGUUUGUUGGUGGGGUAACGGCCUACCAAGGCGACGAUGCUUAGCCGGUUUGAGAGAAUGAUCGGCCACACUGGAACUGAGACACGGUCCAGACUCCUACGGGAGGCAGCAGUAGGGAAUAUUGCGCAAUGGACGCAAGUCUGACGCAGCAAUACCGCGUGAGUGAGGAAGGUUUUCGGAUUGUAAAACUCUGUCAGAGUGGAAAAACGGCUUGGGGUCCAAUAGGCCUCAAGAUUGAUGGUACACUCAGAGGAAGCACCGGCUAACUUCGUGCCAGCAGCCGCGGUAAUACGAAGGGUGCUAGCGUUGUUCGGAUUUAUUGGGCGUAAAGCGCGCGUAGGCGGAUGGAUUAGUCUGGUGUGAAAUCUCGGGGCCCAACCCCGAAACUGCGCCUGAAACUGUUCAUCUAGAAUAUCGGAGAGGGAAGGGGAAUUUCGCAUGUAGGGGUAAAAUCCGUAGAGAUGCGAAGGAACACCGGAGGCGAAGGCGCCUUCCUGGACGAUUAUUGACGCUGAGGUGCGAAAGCGUGGGUAGCAAACAGGAUUAGAUACCCUGGUAGUCCACGCUGUAAACGAUGAGCACUAGAAAUUGCGGGUAUUGACCCCUGCAGUUUCGCAGCUAACGCAUUAAGUGCUCCGCCUGGGGAGUACGAUCACAAGAUUAAAACUCAAAGGAAUUGACGGGGGCCCGCACAAGCGGUGGAUUAUGUGGUUUAAUUCGAAGCAACGCGAAGAACCUUACCUGGGCUUGAAUUCCUGCGAACCCGCUCGAGAAAGCGGGGUGUCCUUUUUGGAAAUGCAGUGAUAGGUGCUGCACGGCUGUCGUCAGCUCGUGUCGUGAGAUGUUGGGUUAAGUCUCGCAACGAGCGCAACCCUCGUCCUUAGUUGCCAGCAUUAAGUUGGGCACUCUAGGGAGACUGCCUGGGCCAACCAGGAGGAAGGUGAGGAUGACGUCAAGUCCUCAUGGCCCUUAUGUCCAGGGCUACACACGUAAAACAAUGGCACAUACAGAGGGACGCGAACUCGCGAGGGGGGGCAAAUCUCAAAAAGUGUGUCUCAGCCCGGAUUGGAGUCUGCAACUCGACUCCAUGAAGCUGGAAUCGCUAGUAAUCGCGGAUCAGCACGCCGCGGUGAAUACGUUCUCGGGCCUUGUACACACCGCCCGUCACACCAUGGGAGUUGGCCUUACCUGAAGUCGUGGCCCCAACCACUUUUGUGGAGGGGAGCGCCUACGGUCGGGCCGAUGACUGGGGUGAAGUCGUAACAAGGUA